Molecule: non-coding RNA, 82 nt
Organism: Ceratotherium simum simum (southern white rhinoceros)
Lineage: Eukaryota; Metazoa; Chordata; Mammalia; Perissodactyla; Rhinocerotidae
Source: RefSeq, a predicted model, not a curated record
CUCCCCAGUCAACAAAAUACCCACCAGAUAGUACAUUUAUUACCACUGAUGAACCUACACUGACACGUCAUCAUCACCCAGA